This 225-nucleotide non-coding RNA is filed under the name Amborella trichopoda. Its description in RNAcentral is "Bacterial small subunit ribosomal RNA". It matches the Rfam family "Bacterial small subunit ribosomal RNA", at positions 615 to 869 of the family's 1533-position model. Lineage: Eukaryota; Viridiplantae; Streptophyta; Magnoliopsida; Amborellales; Amborellaceae. The record is from Rfam by way of RNAcentral.
AAUCUUAGGUGCUGGAAACUACCAAGCUAGAGUACAGUAGGGGCAAAGGGAGGAGCGGUGAAAUGCGUAGAGUUCAUAAAGAACAAUGGCGAAAGCACCCUGCUGGGCCAACACUAAUACUGAGAGACAAAAACUAGGGGAGGGAAUAACCCAGUAGUCAACAAUGGAUACUAGGCAUUGUGCGUAUCAACCCAUGCCGUGUUGUAGCUAAUGUGUUACGUAUCC